AGGGUGAGGGGGUGAGCUGGAGACAAAGGAGCUACAGAUCUGAACAUCCAGUGAGCUUGGAGCCGUGAAGUUGUCAUGCACUGAACUAUAUAUGGAAUUGGCCAGGUGAUCCCUUUGUAGGGUCAAAGGAUGGCGAGCUUCUGACAACUGGCUGGAGCCAGGAGAACCUUAAACUCACUCUAUACUGGUCUGAGCGCAGGCGGUUACCACGGUAACAGGUGUGCUUAAACUACAAAGAGAGAGUAAGAAGGGUGCAGCCCGCCGCUUUCCCACUGACCUCUGGGGAGAGGCACCAGCUCCCCUGUGGCCCUACAAGGACAAGCAGCAGCAACAAAAGAGAGGCAAUGAGAAACCCCCCCCCAAUCCCUCCGCCUCUCUGCCUGUGCCUGCCCCCCCACCCAGCCUUCACUGGCUCUCAAGAGAAAGAAAGCACAAAAAAAAAGAAAAGGAGGGAGAGAAGAAGAUGAUGAAACCUGAAGUGGUCUGCAGUGUGAAAGUGUGCAUCCACCCAGAUGUUUGUGCGUGCAUCUGAAAGUGUGUGUGUGUGCAGUGUAUACUCGGCAAACAUUCAUUGAUCCUCAAAUUUAAUCUGUUUACCAACAAUCUGUGAAAAUCUCAUUUGUGCUGCUCAUGAAUGUGUCUGCGGCUGCAUUUCUGCACGCCAGUGAGUUUUCUACCCAGUAGAGGCUUUUAUUGUCUUAAGAUGUGCGUGAGCAUGUGUGCGUGCAUGCAUUGUGUCAUUUUCUUCCCUAGCCUGUUGCUUUCUGCCGCUGUCUGCUCUCUCAGCUCCACAUCAUGAGGAAUGCACACUGAGAUGGAUUCCUGCAGGAUUCCUUCCUCUUCUCCGGCUUCAUUAUUCCUGCUUCUGCAACGCCUGCUGGAUAAACACAGACAUGCUUUUCUCGUACUUCCUAGACCCUUAACCAGCUCCCACAUUGGUGUUAAAUAAGAUCGCUUGUACAGAACUGUGCAGAAGUCCUAAUUUUAAUUCACUUUGCUUCCAAGUGGCAAGACUGCCAUGUAAUUCUGUCAAACUUUUCAUGCUUAAAAAUAAAUGUAAAACAAAUAGUGUCAGAUGUAAA
Gambusia affinis (western mosquitofish) is the source of this 1082-nucleotide long non-coding RNA. RefSeq lists it as uncharacterized. The transcript is spliced from 6 exons. The record is from RefSeq and is a predicted model, not a curated record. Lineage: Eukaryota; Metazoa; Chordata; Actinopteri; Cyprinodontiformes; Poeciliidae.